UUUGGGCUGUAACUGACGCUGAGGAGCGAAAGCAUGGGGAGCGAACAGGAUUAGAUACCCUGGUAGUCCAUGCCGUAAACGUUGGGCACUAGGUGUGGGGACCAUUCCACGGUUUCCGCGCCGCAGCUAACGCAUUAAGUGCCCCGCCUGGGGAGUACGGCCGCAAGGCUAAAACUCAAAGGAAUUGACGGGGGCCCGCACAAGCGGCGGAGCAUGCGGAUUAAUUCGAUGCAACGCGAAGAACCUUACCAAGGCUUGACAUGUUCUCGAUCGCCGUAGAGAUACGGUUUCCCCUUUGGGGCGGGUUCACAGGUGGUGCAUGGUUGUCGUCAGCUCGUGUCGUGAGAUGUUGGGUUAAGUCCCGCAACGAGCGCAACCCUCGUUCCAUGUUGCCAGCACGUAAUGGUGGGGACUCAUGGGAGACUGCCGGGGUCAACUCGGAGGAAGGUGAGGACGACGUCAAAUCAUCAUGCCCCUUAUGUCUUGGGCUUCACGCAUGCUACAAUGGCCGGUACAAUGGGUUGCGAUACUGUGAGGUGGAGCUAAUCCCAAAAAGCCGGUCUCAGUUCGGAUUGGGGUCUGCAACUCGACCCCAUGAAGUCGGAGUCGCUAGUAAUCGCAGAUCAGCAACGCUGCGGUGAAUACGUUCCCGGGCCUUGUACACACCGCCCGUCAAGUCACGAAAGUUGGUAACACCCGAAGCCGGUGGCCUAACCCUUGUGGGGGGAGCCGUCGAAGGUGGACCAGCGAUUGGGACU
RNAcentral lists this ribosomal RNA (758 nucleotides) under Micrococcaceae bacterium NASA2-31. Its description in RNAcentral is "bacterial SSU rRNA". It matches the Rfam family "Bacterial small subunit ribosomal RNA", at positions 728 to 1482 of the family's 1533-position model. Lineage: Bacteria; Bacillati; Actinomycetota; Actinomycetes; Micrococcales; Micrococcaceae. The record is from RNAcentral.